RNAcentral lists this ribosomal RNA (467 nucleotides) under uncultured bacterium. Its description in RNAcentral is "partial 16S ribosomal RNA". It matches the Rfam family "Bacterial small subunit ribosomal RNA", at positions 28 to 507 of the family's 1533-position model. The record is from RNAcentral.
GAUGAACGCUGACAGAAUGCUUAACACAUGCAAGUCAACUUGAAUUUGGGUUUUUAACUUAGGUUUGGGUGGCGGACGGGUGAGUAACGCGUAAAGAACUUGCCUCACAGCUAGGGACAACAUUUGGAAACGAAUGCUAAUACCUAAUAUUAUGAUAAUAGGGCAUCCUAUAAUUAUGAAAGCUAUAAGCGCUGUGAGAGAGCUUUGCGUCCCAUUAGCUAGUUGGAGAGGUAACGGCUCACCAAGGCGAUGAUGGGUAGCCGGCCUGAGAGGGUGAUCGGCCACAAGGGGACUGAGACACGGCCCUUACUCCUACAGGCGGCAGCAGUGGGGAAUAUUGGACAAUGGACCGAGAGUCUGAUCCAGCAAUUCUGUGUGCACGAUGAAGUUUUUCGGAAUGUAAAGUGCUUUCAGUUGGGAAGAAACAAAUGACGGUACCAACAGAAGAAGUGACGGCUAAAUACGUG